GAUUGAACCAAAGAAAUCUCCCAAAACAAAAGGGUUCUAUGAGAAGUGUUUUAUUGAAUUCUUCAUCUAAACAGUGAGGUGGAGAAAUGUUCUGAGUGGACGGCUGCUUACACUUCUGUUUACAUCCACUCUCAGGACCACGAGGAUUUCCAAAGGAUACAACAGGAGUGCUGCCCUAUAAACAAGAGGUACACAUGUUUCCUCUUUCUAUUUGGUGAGGAGAUACAACAUGUAUUUCCCUUUGUCAGCUCUGCAAUAUCUCAUAUCCAGAUUCAGUUACACUGACUGUUGGUGUUCACAAUAAAUCCUCUAUUCUAACAUUAUCAGCCGCAUGUUAUUGUAAUCUAGAAACAUUCACAGGCUUCAUCUUCUACACACAGUGUUGGAUAAAUGAAAUAUGUUGAGGGAAGUUAGCUGUGAGAAAUAUCAUCACAUGUUUACUCUUUAUGUCUCUGAAUGUUAGCAACAAGCUACUUCCUCACUUACUCCACUGAACCGUGGACGCCUAAAGCUCUCCUCUGGUCGCGGUCCUUCUCACCUGGUCGGGAGUGAGCGAUUGUCUUCUGUCGUCAUGGUCACCCUGGAUGUAGUGCAGGAAGUUGAGUCUCUGAAACAGAAGAACAGGAAGUAGUUCAACUUAGCUGCUCUCCAUCUUGUCCUGGGAGUGGAAUGUGGGCGUUUCUUUUUAGUGUUCAACGUGUAGCCCUGGAUGUCCUGCAGGAACCCGGAGUCCGGCUCUUCCUCCUUUGCUGCUCCCUGUGUGGACGUCAGACUGAGAAAGGCCAGCAAAUACACCUAAAUAUUGAUGUUAUCAUUCACUAUUGACACUUUUCUGUCUGGGGCACAAACACCUUUGAGUUAUUGAAUUAGUGACAGUUUAAGGGUACUGAGGUGCACAAAGAGCUGGUUUACACAAUAACACACAUUACUUUAUAUACAUAUUACAGAAGUCAGAUACUCUUACUCAUCUUUUAGUCCACAGCGAGAGGUAGCGGCCUGUUAAAAAUAACAGUGAGUAACACAUAUUACAUUUUGAUUAUUGAAUCGGUGAUGUAACGCGGACAACCAAGUUACUCAGGUUUUAUCUUAUUCUUACAGGUCACAAGCUCGUACUCUAAUUAUAUUCCUAUAUUUCUACAGAUAAACUUGGUGAUGAUAUAUAGUCGUUAUGCUCACACUCACCUUUUGGUCCUCGGUGAACAGCAGCAGCUCAGUUGGAGUGUGGUUAAAGUAUUGGUUAGUAAAAACAAUAUUUGCAUAAUAGAGUCAACAUACAAAGUGCAUAAACAGAUUCACAAUAGAAUAAAAGAACCUACUUCUAACGUUGCCUGUAGGUUACAGAUUAUUCUAAGUUACUUACCUUUUUCGUCCACAUUGAACAGCAGCAUCUCAGGUGGCAAAGUGAGAGAGGUAACAACACAUAAUGGUAAGUUAUAUAACAAAUUAUCUUUGCACGACAUAAUAAAAAAUGAUCUAUGAACAAAUAGAUGAAGCAGGCAGUUUGUAGUAAAUAAUAUUACUUUGUAUUCAUGUUAUAGGUCACUGUCUGAACAAAACAGACGCUGGUACUUACUUUUUCACACGGCCAAAUGGGAUAAAAACAUAAUUAGUAUGGGAAGUAAUUGUAAAUAUUUGAAUAUUAUGAAUUUCCAUAACGGCAUACACUAUAUUUGGCCAUAUGAAGGCAUUUCUAACCUUGGGAGUUCUACUUACUCUGUUGUUUGUCAGUUUUCACUGAUACCUUCACUCUUAACCUGUAAAGGAAUGUGGACACUGUGGGGGAGGGGGAGGCAUAAAACGAGACAUAAAAGCAUUUUUGUCUUCUUCAGCCCUGCCAGACGCAAAGGCUACAUGCUCGGGGUGUCAACGCCUCUGCCAGACGCAAAGGCCGGCCGUCAGGAUGAAAGAAAAGUUGAUCGAUCCACCGCGCAAAGAAGAAGAAAAGCCCCAGAGCAAGACGCUACAUGGGGGACACAAGCCCUGCCAGACGCAAAGGAUACCAGUACCUGCAGAAGGGGUCAACAGCCCCGCCAGACGCAAAGGCCUCAGGAUGAAAUAAAGGUUGACCGAUGUCUUGUGCAAAUAUGACUACAUAAUACAGAAAAGCCCCAAUGCAAGACGCUACAUGGGGGACACUAGCCCUGCCAGACGCAAAGGCUACCAUGGCAACCACUGUUCCUGCUGCAAGUGGACUCAGUGGUUGCUCCGAAGCUUCCCGGAGGAUUGUCAAUCAGAGUCGCUGUCUUCAGACUACCGCGCCCUCUUCGCAGCAGACUCCUCCCCGUCGCUCUCGUCCCUGCGCCGUUUUGCCGAGGAGUCGAGGCCAGAAGUUGAGGGAGAUUCAAGAACAUCUGCAUCCAGGAGCUCCUCAAAAGAGUCUUC
Molecule: long non-coding RNA, 2382 nt
Organism: Gasterosteus aculeatus aculeatus (three-spined stickleback)
Lineage: Eukaryota; Metazoa; Chordata; Actinopteri; Perciformes; Gasterosteidae
Source: Ensembl